GACGAACGCUGGCGGCGUGCUUAACACAUGCAAGUCGAACGGAAAGACCCUGCUUUUGUGGGGUGCUCGAGUGGCGAACGGGUGAGUAACACGUGAGUAACCUGCCCUUGACUUUGGGAUAACUUCAGGAAAUUGGGGCUAAUACCGGAUAGGAGCUCCUGCUGCAUGGUGGGGGUUGGAAAGUUUCGGCGGUUGGGGAUGGACUCGCGGCUUAUCAGCUUGUUGGUGGGGUAGUGGCUUACCAAGGCUUUGACGGGUAGCCGGCCUGAGAGGGUGACCGGCCACAUUGGGACUGAGAUACGGCCCAGACUCCUACGGGAGGCAGCAGUGGGGAAUAUUGCACAAUGGGCGGAAGCCUGAUGCAGCAACGCCGCGUGCGGGAUGACGGCCUUCGGGUUGUAAACCGCUUUCGCCUGUGACGAAGCGUGAGUGACGGUAAUGGGUAAAGAAGCACCGGCUAACUACGUG
This 468-nucleotide ribosomal RNA is filed under the name uncultured bacterium. Its description in RNAcentral is "partial 16S ribosomal RNA". It matches the Rfam family "Bacterial small subunit ribosomal RNA", at positions 28 to 507 of the family's 1533-position model. The record is from RNAcentral.